GGGGGGACUCCGGAUCCUGGGCUGUGUCCCCGGCGCCCUGGGCUCCGGGGCUUGUGCUGUUGGAUUUGCGCUCCCGGCUGCGCAGCCCCCU
RNAcentral lists this microRNA precursor (91 nucleotides) under Canis lupus familiaris (dog). RNAcentral's name for it is "mir-8799 microRNA precursor family". It matches the Rfam family "mir-8799 microRNA precursor family". The record is from Rfam by way of RNAcentral. Lineage: Eukaryota; Metazoa; Chordata; Mammalia; Carnivora; Canidae.